This 465-nucleotide ribosomal RNA is filed under the name uncultured organism. RNAcentral describes it as "bacterial SSU rRNA". It matches the Rfam family "Bacterial small subunit ribosomal RNA", at positions 28 to 507 of the family's 1533-position model. The record is from RNAcentral.
GACGAACGCUGGCGGCGUGCUUAACACAUGCAAGUCGAACGAUGAACCGGGGCUUGCCCUGGGGAUUAGUGGCGAACGGGUGAGUAACACGUGGGCAACCUGCCCCAGACACCGGGAUAACCUCUCGAAAGAGUGGCUAAUACCGGAUACGACCUCCUUGGGCAUCUGAGGAGGUGGAAAGGAUUCUGGUCUGGGAUGGGCCCGCGGCCUAUCAGCUUGUUGGUGGGGUAAUGGCCUACCAAGGCGACGACGGGUAGCCGGCCUGAGAGGGCGACCGGCCACACUGGGACUGAGACACGGCCCAGACUCCUACGGGAGGCAGCAGUGGGGAAUAUUGCGCAAUGGGCGAAAGCCUGACGCAGCGACGCCGCGUGAGGGACGAAGGUCUUCGGAUUGUAAACCUCUUUCAGCAGGGACGAAGCGAAAGUGACUGUACCUGCAAAAGAAGCACCGGCUAACUACGUG